GGAUGAACUACUUCAUUGCAUGCAAUGUAUCUUGGAGGUUAUGAUAAAGAUAAUAAGGCAGCAAGAGCUUAUGACUUGGCUUCUCUUAAGUACUUGGGAACAACUACGACAACCAACUUUCAUAUAACUAACUAUGAGGAGUUAGAGGAAAUGAAACAUAUGACCAGACAGAAAUAUGUCGCAUCUCUUUCAAGGUAAUAACAAGUGAAAAGGCCAUGAAUGCAUCACUAUUAUUGUCAAGUGCAACUCAUAAUGUAAACAAAAAAACUAGUUCCAUUGAUGUAAUUGUUCAAUUGACGUAAUGGUGAAUC
This is a long non-coding RNA of Dioscorea cayenensis subsp. rotundata (Guinea yam), 311 nucleotides long. RefSeq lists it as uncharacterized. Lineage: Eukaryota; Viridiplantae; Streptophyta; Magnoliopsida; Dioscoreales; Dioscoreaceae. The record is from RefSeq and is a predicted model, not a curated record. The transcript is spliced from 4 exons.